This 442-nucleotide ribosomal RNA is filed under the name uncultured bacterium. RNAcentral's name for it is "bacterial SSU rRNA". It matches the Rfam family "Bacterial small subunit ribosomal RNA", at positions 958 to 1400 of the family's 1533-position model. The record is from RNAcentral.
AACGCGAAGAACCUUACCCAGGCUCGAAAUGUGGAGAACCGCGGCAGAGAUGCCGCUUCCCGAAAGGGGCUCUAUAUAGGUGCUGCAUGGCUGUCGUCAGCUCGUGCCGUGAGGUGUUUGGUUAAGUCCAGCAACGAGCGCAACCCUUAUUGUCAGUUGCCAACAUGUAAUGGUGGGGACUCUGGCAAGACUGCCUAGGUUAACUAGGAGGAAGGUGAGGAUGACGUCAAGUCCGCAUGGCCUUUAUGUCUGGGGCUACACACGUGCUACAAUGGUCGGUACAGAAGGCAGCUAAGCCGUGAGGCGGAGCAAACCCGAUAAAACCGAUCUCAGUUCAGAUCGCAGUCUGCAACUCGACUGCGUGAAGUUGGAAUUGCUAGUAAUGGCGUGUCAGCAACAGCGCCGUGAAUACGUUCCCGGGCCUUGUACACACCGGUAUCUC